UUCUAUCAUACCUCUGAGUUCAAAGCUCAUGCUCGUGGUUCUGAUGUUAAUCUUAACCAGUGCGUCCAAUCAUAAACAACAGUAUCUACAGUCAGGGGACUGAAAGAGAGGACGCCCAAGUAGUUGGUGUAAGUGAUCAAGAAACCAAUAGCCAGACAUAGUCACGUAUCUAAUGAAAUAAACAGGAAAAUGGAGGUAAACCAAAUCAAAUUCAUUAGAUAAAGCCAACCCAUAAUAGGUGGUUACAUCACAGCAACAGAAAUUAAAAACUG
Molecule: long non-coding RNA, 272 nt
Filed under: Lathyrus oleraceus (garden pea)
Lineage: Eukaryota; Viridiplantae; Streptophyta; Magnoliopsida; Fabales; Fabaceae
Description: Pisum sativum (pea) long non-coding RNA (PSAT_LNC008330)
Source: RNAcentral